Molecule: ribosomal RNA, 1042 nt
Filed under: Stillabothrium hyphantoseptum
Lineage: Eukaryota; Metazoa; Platyhelminthes; Cestoda; Rhinebothriidea; Escherbothriidae
Description: eukaryotic LSU rRNA
Rfam family: Eukaryotic large subunit ribosomal RNA (bases 562-1042)
Source: RNAcentral
AAACGGGUGGCGUCAAGCUGCAAGCCGGGAGGAUUCAGCCGAUUAGGGUGUCAUCAUGCGCCAGGCGUAUGUUUCAGUCGGAGUGAGUCUGGGUGGUCCACUGGAAGACAGUGGGUCCCGCCGCCGCAAGGUGGUGGGAUGUGUGUACCGGGUGUUAGCCGGAGCACGCUGCUCGUCUGCUGGACUGUCCUAGUCGGUGCACUUUCUCUCAUAACAUGGCUAACACCACGACCGGUGGUACUGCCAGUCUGCUAUGGUCAAGUCGUGCUCGGCGUGGGUGCACCUCGGUGUGCCUUACUGGGUGCGAUCACGGGCGAAUUCGGUAGACGGCGUCGGCAUUUGCCUUGCGCGGUGUCGUCGCGUUAUCGGCUACUGGUCGUCUUAACAACGGGCUGUCUGUCGACGUCGAAGCCGUCGUGUUUCUGGAUGGUUCGGUGGACUGUAGCGGUAGGAAUAACUGUGCAGGGCACCGGAGUGAUCGGCCUCAAAUGCGGUCGACAUGCACGCUUCGAGUGUGCUCUCCCCUUCUAUCGGGGAAUGUGGGUGGCGCUGCGGCCUGCCUGUCUUUUUGUCGAGCGUGACUGUCGUGUUGCCCGCGCAAAGUGGGCCCGGCGGUGGCUUGGCACAGGUUGGUGUCGUACCCUUAGCGUUGCCUGCGUGUGUCGAUCGUGGUGGGCCUGAUAGUCUGUGGUGUGGUGGUAGACGAGCUACCCGACCCGUCUUGAAACACGGACCAAGGAGUUUAACUUGUGUGCAAGUCACUGGGUCCUACGAAACCCAAAGGCGCAAUGAAAGUGAAGCCUCGUGUGUGUGCGUCCGCGCGCGCGCACGGGGUGAGGUGAGAUCCUGCUGUUACUCGCAUCCGCGCCAGCACCUGGCACGAAAGAGCAGUGGGCGCAUCACCGGCCCGUCCCAUGAUGUGGCCAUUGGAAUAGGGCUGCCGCGACCUCGUGUCUGCGGUGUGUACCUCCAGUGCGUCAUCGGGGCGGAGCAUGAGCACACAGGUUAUGACCCGAAAGAUGGUGAACUAUGCUUGCGUAGG